Molecule: ribosomal RNA, 116 nt
Filed under: Pteropus alecto (black flying fox)
Lineage: Eukaryota; Metazoa; Chordata; Mammalia; Chiroptera; Pteropodidae
Also listed under: 1 other name
Source: RNAcentral
GUCUAUGGCCAUGCCACCCUGAACGUGCCCAAUCCAGUCUGAACUCAAAAGCUAAGCAGGGUUGGGCCUAGUCAGUACUUGGAUGGGAUACCUAGGAAUACCAGGUGCUGUAGGUG